GCCUGUCUGGGGUCUUACGUUCCAGAACCACAAUAUGAUUAUGAGGGACACUGUAGUGGAGGGCUCCGGAAAUUUCGACCACCUGGGGUUCUUUAACGCGCACUGACAUCGCUCAGUACACGGGCCUCUACCAUUUCGCCUCCACCGAAAAGCGAUUGCCGUGGCCGAGAUCAAACCAGCGACCUUCGGGAAGAUUGAUCAUUUAAAUGCACACUGAAAAUAAUUUCUAUUGCGUAAAGGCCAUAUAAUGCUUUAAUAAAGAUACGUACAAGCUGCUCUGACAAACUUGUUUUAUAGAAGACUUGUAUGAAGCCUUCAAUGAUUGUUUUUAGCAAUAAGCAAGGGGCUUCUGCGCUAAUUCUGUUCAUCUGAAUGUGUGUCUAGUGUUUUUGUUCUUUUACUGUUUUGUUGUCCUUAGUUUGCUAGCAUCUGUAAUGCUCAUUUAUAGAGUUUUUGUAAGAUUUGUUUUUCUUCUAAGGCACAUUAUCUUGGGAUUUUUUAUGCACAAGAAUAUAAAGUUUCACAUUUAUUCAGUUCUCACUGGGGUUAUUUCACUGCGUGUACAGGUACCCGUUCAGGCAGCUCUAUCGGGUAGCUGCUGAGAGAUUGGUCACCGCUCAUCCACACUUUGCAGAUAGGGUCGGUUGCAGCCUGGAAUCAUGGGUGAUGGCCCUGAGGAACAAGUUCCAACAACACAGGAAAAAAGCUACAAAACUGCUCGGAGGAAAUGCUAAUUCGAAAGAAAUGCUGUCUGCCAAAGCAAAUGCAGGCACCAUCUGAAGAAGUGGCAAACAACAAAUUGUGCCGUCUUUUUGACUGCAGCCAUCUUACUACAUAUGGAGAAACCGUUGAGUCCUUGCGAAUUCAUAACGAAAGGCUCCAGAAUAAUGCAGCCUGCCACGAUGAAGCAACAGGAAGGCCAAGGUUGUGGGCAACAGCACUGGACAGGCAUAAAGAGCUUCGCAGCCUCACCCUGUCGGAUGCUCUUUUACUGUUUCCAUUUCUUGGAACUGAGGCAUUGGAACAAGCCCUGCUCACACCUUGCCUUGUGGAGAAAGAAGGACUUACUCUACACAUUGACGGGGAGCCCGUUUUGAGUGUGCCAUCACUUCUUGCAGGAAUGGCGUGCCUGUUUGCAUCGUUUUGGGUAUUCCAUGUGGAAUACCCAAAAAAAGGCACACAAAAUGCUCGCAUUCCUUGAGCACGCGUUCCUACACCUUUCACACAUGAAGCAGAGUGUCAAAGCUCUGGAACUUAUAAAUUUUUUUUUAAUGAGUAACAUUAAUUUAGUUUCACAAUUGUAGUUUUGUAGUUUUCUUCAAGUACGUUGUGCAAGCUGGCAUUUUGGACUUCUGUGCCUUGAGAAGAGGUGAAAAAAAAGUAUGACAGACAAAUGUUAAUAUUGCAUUUUUUUGUGCAAGGUUCUUUUUUUUCUUAAACCUUGGCCAUGUGUCACAUGUGGAAUACGGCGUGCACUUGUACAACCAAUGUGUACAUUUUUUUAUUGCAAACAAGUUCUGUGGUAUCCCGCAAGGUGGAGGAAAGAUUAAGAAAGGGAAAAUAGACAACCACCUGUUUGUAGCAUGAAGCCACAAGAAAAUUCAUGCAGCGUUCUUAGGGAAAAAAAAGCUUCUUCGUUGCUGAAAAAUGCGUCCUAGUUCGGGGUCCCGGACCAGGACGAAUUUUUCGGCAACGAGGAAGCUUUUCUUUCGGCUAAAUCCAUAUGGAUUGCCUUGUGGCUUCGUGCUACGAACGGGUGGUUAUCUGUUUUCUCUUUCUUAACCUUUCCUCCACUUUGCGGGAUUCCACAGAACUCAUAGCUUUUUAGUUGCUGAAAAAUUUUUCCUGGUCCGGGGUCUGGGACCCCAGAAAAGAACGAAUUUUUCGGCAACUAAAAAGCUUUUCUUUCUGAGAAAUCCAUAUGGAUUUCCUUGUCGCUUCAGGCUACAAAUGGGUGGUUGUCUAUUUUCCCUUUCUUAAAAUUUUUUUUAUUAUUAAACCAUGCCUGGCAGCAUUUAUAAAAAUAAUUUUCAUUUUGUGAUGUCAACAAUGUGCCCAUGGCCUCGCAGGUUGGCUACUUGCUCUAAAAUGUUUUAUCCACCAUUGCAAUUUUUAGAUGGGCCACCCAGGUCUUGAGUAUUCAGUGAGAAAGCCACUUUUGAAUGUUGUGACAUCAUGAGUGAUAAAAUGGUGACUACAGGUAUCUUAUUUGCAUUUGUAUUAUUUGUGUAUGGUAUAUGUGGUAGCCAUAUAUUAUAGGUUAUAUUUAAGGUAUCCAUGUUUACAAGUUUGUCAGUCUUUUUGUCAUGAAACAAAUGUGAUCAGUUGACCUGUCUCAAUAUAUUUUUAAGGUAUCCACGAUUUAUUUCACUGUGCUAAGUUAUGGUGAACAGAAUAAUUGCAGCCGUGAAAAUUGCUGUUAAAUUUAGUUGGCAGCACAGAUCUCUAGUCAUGUGUGAAAGUGCUUUACACAUAGUACUGCGCAAUUAGCUGUUUCAGUUUAUAGAAAUGUCAUGAAUGUGUGAUAUCGAUAUCUGAUAGGGCCACCUUCUUUUACAUUUAUAUAGGCUUAUCAUUUACUGGCAGUUAAGGCACUGCUAUACAAUACCUGCAUUUUGUAUGUUUCAGUCCGCAGAAGUGCUCACUGCCGGAAAUUCAACACUAGACUUGUAUUAUAUAUGCUAUUGGACAUUUACCUACAAUAAAUAUUUUUGUCAAUGUUUGGUGUGUGUCUUCUCCAACGGCGCAAGCAGGAACCCUUUCGGAAGUUCUGCAUCGCCACUUCUGCUGAAAAGCCCCCCUCCCCCCAAAGCUUUUAUUAAUGUCUAAAUUGUCGAGAUACAGUUUUGCAAGAAUGCUAGCAUGGCUUCAGUUUUCGCGAGACUGUAUUUUGGCAAUUUAGAAAUGGCAUAGAAGCUCUAGAGGGAGUUAUGCAGCAAAGGUUACUCCCGUUUACUACCGCAAGCACUCCCCAGAGGAGU
Molecule: long non-coding RNA, 2981 nt
Organism: Rhipicephalus sanguineus (brown dog tick)
Lineage: Eukaryota; Metazoa; Arthropoda; Arachnida; Ixodida; Ixodidae
Exons: 4
Source: RefSeq, a predicted model, not a curated record